GGAGUGAUCCUAGUCCUCCGGGCUUCAUGGUUCAAUCGCUCCUCUUGAAGUCGUGCGAAAGAGAUGGCUGCCAUAAGCGUGUAUGGUUGUCGCGCCUUAACUUCUCCCCGGAUCUCCGACUUUAAGCCCUCAAUAAAGGUCCCCAAUAGUUGUUUUUCAGACCAAUCACGAGUUUGAUUAGAUAAUCUUUCAAACCUGGUUUGGUACUCCUGAAUGGUGGAGGUUUGUCGGAUCUUUGCUAGUUGUCCGUCAAUGUUCUCGUAAUAAGUUGGUCCGAAGCGGAUCAGUAGUCCUU
This 295-nucleotide long non-coding RNA is filed under the name Musa acuminata (dwarf banana). Its description in RNAcentral is "long non-coding RNA (MACU_LNC007587)". Lineage: Eukaryota; Viridiplantae; Streptophyta; Magnoliopsida; Zingiberales; Musaceae. The record is from RNAcentral.